UACGAAGGGGGCUAGCGUUGUUCGGAUUCAUUGGGUUUAAAGGGUGCGUAGGCGGAAUAAUAAGUCAGUGGUGAAAGCCUGUGGCUUAACCAUAGAAUUGCCAUUGAUACUGUUAUUCUUGAGUAUAGUUGAAGUGGGCGGAAUGUGUAAUGUAGCGGUGAAAUGCUUAGAUAUUACACAGAACACCAAUUGCGAAGGCAGCUCACUAAGCUGUUACUGACGCUGAGGCACGAAAGCGUGGGGAGCAAACAGG
Molecule: ribosomal RNA, 253 nt
Filed under: uncultured bacterium
Lineage: Bacteria
Description: partial 16S ribosomal RNA
Rfam family: Bacterial small subunit ribosomal RNA
Source: RNAcentral